UGCAGUCGAGCGGAUUGAUGGGAGCUUGCUCCCUGAUAUCAGCGGCGGACGGGUGAGUAACACGUGGGUAACCUGCCUGUAAGACUGGGAUAACUCCGGGAAACCGGGGCUAAUACCGGAUAACUCAUUUCCUCGCAUGAGGAAAUGUUGAAAGAUGGCUUCGGCUAUCACUUACAGAUGGACCCGCGGCGCAUUAGCUAGUUGGUGAGGUAACGGCUCACCAAGGCAACGAUGCGUAGCCGACCUGAGAGGGUGAUCGGCCACACUGGGACUGAGACACGGCCCAGACUCCUACGGGAGGCAGCAGUAGGGAAUCUUCCGCAAUGGACGAAAGUCUGACGGAGCAACGCCGCGUGAGUGAUGAAGGUUUUCGGAUCGUAAAGCUCUGUUGUUAGGGAAGAACAAGUGCCGUUCGAAUAGGGCGGCACCUUGACGGUACCUAACCAGAAAGCCACGGCUAACUACGUGCCAGCAGCCGCGGUAAUACGUAGGUGGCAAGCGUUGUCCGGAAUUAUUGGGCGUAAAGCGCGCGCAGGUGGUUCCUUAAGUCUGAUGUGAAAGCCCACGGCUCAACCGUGGAGGGUCAUUGGAAACUGGGGAACUUGAGUGCAGAAGAGGAAAGUGGAAUUCCAAGUGUAGCGGUGAAAUGCGUAGAUAUUUGGAGGAACACCAGUGGCGAAGGCGACUUUCUGGUCUGUAACUGACACUGAGGCGCGAAAGCGUGGGGAGCAAACAGGAUUAGAUACCCU
This 749-nucleotide ribosomal RNA is filed under the name Rossellomorea sp. Its description in RNAcentral is "bacterial SSU rRNA". It matches the Rfam family "Bacterial small subunit ribosomal RNA", at positions 56 to 788 of the family's 1533-position model. Lineage: Bacteria; Bacillati; Bacillota; Bacilli; Caryophanales; Bacillaceae. The record is from RNAcentral.